UGGGGAAUAUUGGACAAUGGGCGCAAGCCUGAUCCAGCCAUGCCGCGUGUGUGAAGAAGGCUCUAGGGUUGUAAAGCACUUUAAGUUGUGAGGAAGUGACAGUUGUAAAUAAUGAUUGUCAUUGACGUUAGCAACAGAAUAAGCACCGGCUAACUCCGUGCCAGCAGCCGCGGUAAUACGGGGGGUGCAAGCGUUAAUCGGAUUUACUGGGCGUAAAGAGCACGUAGGCGGUUGAUUAAGUUGGAUGUGAAAGCCCAGGGCUUAACCCUGGAACUGCAUUCAAAACUGCUCAACUCGAGUAAGGGAGAGGAGAGUGGAAUUUCCAGUGUAGCGGUGAAAUGCAUAGAUAUUGGAAGGAACACCAGUGGCGAAGGCGACUCUCUGGCCUAUUACUGACGCU
Molecule: ribosomal RNA, 400 nt
Filed under: uncultured bacterium
Lineage: Bacteria
Description: bacterial SSU rRNA
Rfam family: Bacterial small subunit ribosomal RNA
Source: RNAcentral